Molecule: ribosomal RNA, 396 nt
Filed under: uncultured bacterium
Lineage: Bacteria
Description: bacterial SSU rRNA
Rfam family: Bacterial small subunit ribosomal RNA
Source: RNAcentral
AUUGAACGCUGGCGGCAUGCCUUACACAUGCAAGUCGAACGGCAGCACGGACUUCGGUCUGGUGGCGAGUGGCGAACGGGUGAGUAAUGCAUCGGAACGUGCCAUUGAGUGGGGGAUAACGUAGCGAAAGUUGCGCUAAUACCGCAUAUUCUGUGAGCAGGAAAGCAGGGGACCGCAAGGCCUUGCGCUCGUUGAGCGGCCGAUGUCAGAUUAGCUAGUUGGUGAGGUAAAGGCUUACCAAGGCGACGAUCUGUAGCGGGUCUGAGAGGAUGAUCCGCCACACUGGAACUGAGACACGGUCCAGACUCCUACGGGAGGCAGCAGUGGGGAAUUUUGGACAAUGGGGGCAACCCUGAUCCAGCCAUGCCGCGUGAGUGAAGAAGGCCUCGGUGUAAG